GCCCUGGUCGUCUAGCCCGGUCAAGGAUCGCGGCCUCUCGCUCCACGUAGGAGGGGAAAGCCGUGGACGCGGGUUCAAAUCCCGCCCAGGGCAC
Molecule: transfer RNA, 94 nt
Filed under: archaeon HR01
Lineage: Archaea
Description: tRNA-Glu
Rfam family: tRNA
About the family: Transfer RNA (tRNA) molecules are approximately 80 nucleotides in length. Their secondary structure includes four short double-helical elements and three loops (D, anti-codon, and T loops).
Source: RNAcentral